RNAcentral lists this ribosomal RNA (203 nucleotides) under uncultured bacterium. RNAcentral's name for it is "partial 16S ribosomal RNA". It matches the Rfam family "Bacterial small subunit ribosomal RNA", at positions 524 to 724 of the family's 1533-position model. The record is from RNAcentral.
UACGUAGGGGGGCAAGCGUUGUCCGGAUUUAUUAGGCGUAAAGAGCGUGUAGGCGGCCAAGCAGGUCAGCUGUGAAAACUCGAGGCUCAACCUCGAGACGUCGGUUGAAACCGCUUGGCUAGAGUCCGGAAGAGGAGAGUGGAAUUCCCGGUGUAGCGGUGAAAUGCGCAGAUAUCGGGAAGAACACCCGGUGGCGAAGGCGG